Danio rerio (zebrafish) is the source of this 73-nucleotide non-coding RNA. NCBI's taxonomy places the organism in Eukaryota, Metazoa, Chordata, Actinopteri, Cypriniformes, Danionidae. The record is from Rfam.
GCCUGGAUAGCUCAGUCGGUAGAGCAUGAGACUCUUAAUGUCAGGGUCGUGGGUUCGAGCCCCUCGUUCGGCG